Molecule: ribosomal RNA, 2879 nt
Filed under: Xanthomonas vesicatoria ATCC 35937
Lineage: Bacteria; Pseudomonadati; Pseudomonadota; Gammaproteobacteria; Lysobacterales; Lysobacteraceae
Description: bacterial LSU rRNA
Rfam family: Bacterial large subunit ribosomal RNA
Source: RNAcentral
UCAAGCGAAUAAGCGCACACGGUGGAUGCCUAGGCGGUCAGAGGCGAUGAAGGACGUGGUAGCCUGCGAAAAGUGUCGGGGAGCUGGCAACAAGCUUUGAUCCGGCAAUAUCCGAAUGGGGAAACCCACUGCUUCGGCAGUAUCCUGCAGUGAAUUCAUAGCUGCUGGAAGCGAACCCGGUGAACUGAAAUAUCUAAGUAACCGGAGGAAAAGAAAUCAACCGAGAUUCCCUAAGUAGUGACGAGCGAACGGGGAACAGCCCUUAAGCUGGAAUGGCUUUAGAAAAACAAUCUGGAAAGAUUGGCCAUAGAAGGUGAUAGCCCUGUAUUUAAAAGGGCCACUCCAGUGAAGACGAGUAGGGCGGGGCACGUGAAACCCUGUCUGAAUAUGGGGGGACCAUCCUCCAAGGCUAAAUACUCCUGACCGACCGAUAGUGAACCAGUACCGUGAGGGAAAGGCGAAAAGAACCCCGGAGAGGGGAGUGAAAUAGAUCCUGAAACCGUGUGCGUACAAGCAGUAGGAGCUCGCAAGAGUGACUGCGUACCUUUUGUAUAAUGGGUCAGCGACUUACUGUUCGUGGCAAGCUUAACCGUAUAGGGGAGGCGAAGGGAAACCGAGUCUGAUAAGGGCGCAUAGUCGCGGGCAGUAGACCCGAAACCGGGUGAUCUAGUCAUGGCCAGGGUGAAGGUGCCGUAACAGGUACUGGAGGCCCGAACCCACGUCUGUUGCAAAAGACGGGGAUGAGCUGUGAUUAGGAGUGAAAAGCUAAUCGAACCCGGAGAUAGCUGGUUCUCCUCGAAAGCUAUUUAGGUAGCGCCUCGGACGAAUACUACUGGGGGUAGAGCACUGUUAUGGCUAGGGGGUCAUCGCGACUUACCAAACCAUUGCAAACUCCGAAUACCAGUACGUACUAUCCGGGAGACACACGGCGGGUGCUAACGUCCGUCGUGAAAAGGGAAACAACCCAGACCCACAGCUAAGGUCCCAAAUUCACUGCUAAGUGGAAAACGAUGUGGAAAGGCACAGACAGCCAGGAGGUUGGCUUAGAAGCAGCCACCCUUUAAAGAAAGCGUAAUAGCUCACUGGUCGAGUCGGUCUGCGCGGAAGAUUUAACGGGGCUAAGCAGUGAACCGAAGCUUGGGGUGCAUAAAACUUGUUUUAUGCGCGGUAGAGGAGCGUUCCGUAAGCCUGCGAAGGUGGAUUGAGAAGUCCGCUGGAGGUAUCGGAAGUGCGAAUGCUGACAUGAGUAACGAUAAUGCGGGUGAAAAGCCCGCACGCCGAAAGCCCAAGGUUUCCUUGCGCAACGUUAAUCGACGCAGGGUUAGUCGGUCCCUAAGGCGAGGGCGAAAGCCGUAGUCGAUGGGAAGCAGGUUAAUAUUCCUGCACCUCGCGUGAGUGCGAUGGAGGGACGGAGAAGGUUAGGUGUACCGGGCGUUGGUUGUCCCGGGGAAAGGCGGUAGGUUUGGAUCUUUGGCAAAUCCGGGAUCCUUUAAGACCGAGCACCGAGACGAGCCUUUAUGGCGAAGUCACUGAUACCACGCUUCCAGGAAAAGCUCCUAAGCUUCAGCUCACGAAGACCGUACCGUAAACCGACACAGGUGGGUAGGAUGAGAAUUCUCAGGCGCUUGAGAGAACUCGGGUGAAGGAACUAGGCAACAUGGCACCGUAACUUCGGGAGAAGGUGCACCCUUUUUGGUGGCUCAUGCGAGCUAUAGCUGAAGAGGGUCGCAGAAACCAGGCCGCUGCGACUGUUUAUCAAAAACACAGCACUCUGCAAACACGAAAGUGGACGUAUAGGGUGUGACGCCUGCCCGGUGCUGGAAGGUUAAUUGAUGGGGUCAGCCGCAAGGCGAAGCUCUUGAUCGAAGCCCCAGUAAACGGCGGCCGUAACUAUAACGGUCCUAAGGUAGCGAAAUUCCUUGUCGGGUAAGUUCCGACCUGCACGAAUGGCGUAACGACAGCGGCGCUGUCUCCACCCGAGACUCAGUGAAAUUGAAAUCGCUGUGAAGAUGCAGCGUUCCCGUGGCAAGACGGAAAGACCCCGUGAACCUUUACUAUAGCUUUACACUGAACGUUGAGUUCGUCUGUGUAGGAUAGGUGGGAGGCUAUGAAACUGUGGCGCUAGCUGCAGUGGAGCCAUCCUUGAAAUACCACCCUGUCGUGCUUGACGUUCUAACCUAGAUCCGUUAUCCGGAUCAGGGACCGUGUAUGGUGGGUAGUUUGACUGGGGCGGUCUCCUCCUAAAGAGUAACGGAGGAGCACGAAGGUACGCUCAGCGCGGUCGGACAUCGCGCACUGUGUGCAAAGGCAUAAGCGUGCUUGACUGCAAGAUCGACGGAUCAAGCAGGUACGAAAGUAGGUCUUAGUGAUCCGGUGGUUCUGUAUGGAAGGGCCAUCGCUCAACGGAUAAAAGGUACUCCGGGGAUAACAGGCUGAUACCGCCCAAGAGUUCAUAUCGACGGCGGUGUUUGGCACCUCGAUGUCGGCUCAUCACAUCCUGGGGCUGUAGUCGGUCCCAAGGGUAUGGCUGUUCGCCAUUUAAAGUGGUACGCGAGCUGGGUUCAGAACGUCGUGAGACAGUUCGGUCCCUAUCUGCCAUGGGCGUUGGAAGUUUGAGAGGGGCUGCUCCUAGUACGAGAGGACCGGAGUGGACGAACCUCUGGUGUUCCGGUUGUCACGCCAGUGGCAUUGCCGGGUAGCUAUGUUCGGAAGCGAUAACCGCUGAAAGCAUCUAAGCGGGAAGCGCGCCUCAAGAUGAGACUUCCCGGGGCACAAGCCCCCUAAAGGAACCAUAUAGACUAUGUGGUUGAUAGGUCAGGUGUGUAAGUACAGCAAUGUAUUGAGCUAACUGAUACUAAUGAUCCGUGCGGCUUGACCAU